GACGUAGGAGGCGAGCGUUAUCCGGAUUCACUGGGCGUAAAGCGCAUGUAGGCGGCUGAUUAAGUCGUGUGUUAAAGCCCUCGGCUCAACUGGGGGAGGUCAUGCGAGACUAGUCGGCUGGAGGGCAGCAGAGGAGCGUGGAACUCCCGGUGUAGCGGUGGAAUGCGUAGAGAUCGGGAAGAACACCAGUGGCGAAGGCGGCGCUCUGGGCUGCACCUGACGCUGAGAUGCGAAAGUGUGGGGAGCAAAC
This 250-nucleotide ribosomal RNA is filed under the name uncultured bacterium. Its description in RNAcentral is "partial 16S ribosomal RNA". It matches the Rfam family "Bacterial small subunit ribosomal RNA", at positions 524 to 773 of the family's 1533-position model. The record is from RNAcentral.